GAUGAACGCUGACAGCAUGCUUAACACAUGCAAGUCUUUGGCUAAGCUUUGCUCGCACAGCCUAGCCUAGGCAGACGGUUGAUUAACCCUUAAGGAACUUCCCCCGCAGUCAGGGAUAACAGACGGAAACGACUGAUAAGCCCUGUUUAAGUCAUGCGCGCUCAUUUCCAUCCUGAUGAAAAUUGGUGCUGCAGGAGAGCCUUGCGUCCUAUUAGCUUGUUGGUGGGGUAACGGCCCACCAAGGCGAUGAUAGGUAGCCGGCCUGAGAGGGUGGACGGCCACAAGGGGACAGAGAUACGGCCGAUACUCCUACGGGAGGCAGCAGGGGAGAAUAGUGGAAAGGGGGGGCAACUGUGGUAGAGAAGUUCUGCGUGGAAGAAGAAGGUUUUCGGAGUGAAAAGUGCUUUCAGCAGAGAAGAAAAAAAUGACGGUACCUGCAGAAGAAGCGACGGCUAAAUACGUG
RNAcentral lists this ribosomal RNA (463 nucleotides) under uncultured bacterium. RNAcentral's name for it is "partial 16S ribosomal RNA". It matches the Rfam family "Bacterial small subunit ribosomal RNA", at positions 28 to 507 of the family's 1533-position model. The record is from RNAcentral.